This 429-nucleotide ribosomal RNA is filed under the name Bacteroidota bacterium. RNAcentral's name for it is "Bacteroidetes bacterium partial 16S ribosomal RNA". It matches the Rfam family "Bacterial small subunit ribosomal RNA", at positions 355 to 776 of the family's 1533-position model. Lineage: Bacteria; Pseudomonadati; Bacteroidota. The record is from RNAcentral.
UAGGGAAUCUUCCGCAAUGGACGCAAGUCUGACGGAGCAACGCCGCGUGAGUGAAGAAGGAUUUCGGUUCGUAAAACUCUGUUGUUAGAGAAGAACAGCGCAUAGAGUAACUGUUAUGCGUGUGACGGUAUCUAACCAGAAAGCCACGGCUAACUACGUGCCAGCAGCCGCGGUAAUACGUAGGUGGCAAGCGUUGUCCGGAUUUAUUGGGCGUAAAGCGAGCGCAGGCGGUCAAUUAAGUCUGAUGUGAAAGCCCCCGGCUCAACCGGGGAGGGUCAUUGGAAACUGGUUGACUUGAGUGCAGAAGAGGGGAGUGGAAUUCCAUGUGUAGCGGUGAAAUGCGUAGAUAUAUGGAGGAACACCAGUGGCGAAGGCGACUCUCUGGUCCGUAACUGACACUGAAGCUCGAAAGCGGGGGUAGCAAACAGG